This 490-nucleotide ribosomal RNA is filed under the name uncultured bacterium. RNAcentral's name for it is "partial 16S ribosomal RNA". It matches the Rfam family "Bacterial small subunit ribosomal RNA", at positions 30 to 507 of the family's 1533-position model. The record is from RNAcentral.
AUUGAACGCUGGCGGCAGGCCUAACACAUGCAAGUCGAAUGGUAACAGGAAACAGCUUGCUGUUUCGCUGACGAGUGGCGGACGGGUGAGUAAUGUCUGGGAAACUGCCUGAUGGAGGGGGAUAACUACUGGAAACGGUAGCUAAUACCGCAUAACGUCGCAAGACCAAAGAGGGGGACCUUCGGGCCUCUUGCCAUCAGAUGUGCCCAGAUGGGAUUAGCUAGUAGGUGGGGUAACGACUCACCUAGGCGACGAUCCCUAGCUGGUCUGAGAGGAUGACCAGCCACACUGGAACUGAGACACGGUCCAGACUCCUACGGGAGGCAGCAGUGGGGAAUAUUGCACAAUGGGCGCAAGCCUGAUGCAGCCAUGCCGCGUGUAUGAAGAAGGCCUUCGGGUUGUAAAGUACUUUCAGCGGGGAGGAAGGGAGUAAAGUUAAUACCUUUGCUCAUUGACGUUACCCGCAGAAGAAGCACCGGCUAACUCCGUG